GAUCAACUCCGGUUGAUCCUGCCGGCGGGCACCGCUAUGGGAGUUCGCUUAAGACAUGCGAGUCGAGAGGUGCAAGACCUC
This 81-nucleotide ribosomal RNA is filed under the name Methanobacteriota archaeon. Its description in RNAcentral is "Euryarchaeota archaeon partial 16S ribosomal RNA". Lineage: Archaea; Methanobacteriati; Methanobacteriota. The record is from RNAcentral.